GAGAGAGGCCAGUAUUUCUGAGGUCUCCAUAGCCUCCCGUUGUUCACUGGAUUAAUUCAGAAGACAUUACCAUGAAGCUUGGGCAGAGCUGGGUUCUUGCUUUGACAAUUUUGUAUGGUGUUCACUGUGAAGUACAUCUGGAGCAGUCUGGAGGAGGCUUUAUUCAGCCAGGAGGUUCCCUGAGACUCUAUUGUGAAGGGUCUGGGUUCACCUUCAGUGACUUCUACAUACACUGGCAUCGCCAGGCUCCAGGAAAGAGUCUGGAGUGGGUGGGUUUCAUCAGAGACAAACCUAGGGGGCACACAACGGAGUAUGCUGCGUCUGUGAAACAGAGAUUCGCCAUCUCAAGAGAUGAUUCCAAGAACACUGCCUACCUUCACAUGAGCAGUCUGAGAGCCGAGGACUCGGCGAUGUAUUACUGUGCCAGAGAAAGAGACACAGUGAGUAGAUGGUAGUGUGAGCCCAGACAAAAACCUCCCUCAAGUGGUGUUCGCCACCAGUGAACGCUCAAAACCAGCAGGGGGCGCUCGGGACUAGCUGUAGCCACAGGUGGGACAGGAAGUGGAUGUAAGUUUCAUGACUUUUGUAUGCUAGGGUCAUAAGUUUAUGAACUGUUUUUGCUAUUACAAUGCAUCUUUAUUAUUUGGGUAUUAAGUCAAAGAAAAAGUAAGAUGCAAAAUGCAUUUUAAGGGGGAGAAUAUGCAUUUUACGCACUAGUAAUUUC
Non-coding RNA from Peromyscus leucopus (white-footed mouse), 724 nucleotides. The record is from the annotation of a RefSeq genome assembly. NCBI's taxonomy places the organism in Eukaryota, Metazoa, Chordata, Mammalia, Rodentia, Cricetidae.